UCCCUAGUGGCUAAAUGGUAAAGAAUCUCCCUGCAAUGCAGGAGACCCAGGUUCAAACCCUGGGUCAGGAA
Molecule: transfer RNA, 71 nt
Filed under: Ovis aries (sheep)
Lineage: Eukaryota; Metazoa; Chordata; Mammalia; Artiodactyla; Bovidae
Rfam family: tRNA
About the family: Transfer RNA (tRNA) molecules are approximately 80 nucleotides in length. Their secondary structure includes four short double-helical elements and three loops (D, anti-codon, and T loops).
Source: Rfam by way of RNAcentral